This 252-nucleotide ribosomal RNA is filed under the name uncultured bacterium. RNAcentral's name for it is "partial 16S ribosomal RNA". It matches the Rfam family "Bacterial small subunit ribosomal RNA", at positions 524 to 776 of the family's 1533-position model. The record is from RNAcentral.
UACGUAGGGGGCGAGCGUUAUCCGGAUUUAUUGGGCGUAAAGCGUGCGUAGGCGGUUUGUUAAGUUUAAGAUAAAAGCCUGGGGCUCAACCCCAGUUCGUCUUAGAAACUGGCAGACUAGAGUGUGGUAGAGGCAAACGGAAUUUCUAGUGUAGCGGUGAAAUGCGUAGAUAUUAGAAGGAACACCAGUGGCGAAGGCGGUUUGCUGGGCCAUUACUGACGCUGAGGCACGAAAGCGUGGGGAGCAAAUAGG